RNA transcript from Morus notabilis, 2070 nucleotides. RefSeq lists it as uncharacterized. NCBI's taxonomy places the organism in Eukaryota, Viridiplantae, Streptophyta, Magnoliopsida, Rosales, Moraceae. The record is from RefSeq and is a predicted model, not a curated record. The transcript is spliced from 8 exons.
CAGAAGAGUUUAAAAUGGUAGAAGCUUUCAGAGAAAGCCAUUGCCAUUUGCCAGUUCCAUUUCCACUAGUUGCUUUAUGAUUUUCUUUCAUUUUCCAUCUAACCAAACAAAGGUUUUUUUUUUUUUUUUUGUAAUUUAUUAUCGAAAAAGAAAGAUUAAGACGAUAUUCCCAUGGCAAUGGGGUUAGAAGACUUGGAGCCGAUCUUCGGCGAGCCUAGGGUUGAGUGUCCGGGUAAUCAUUCGGUGGAGUCGCCUCCAUUCCUGUUCCAUGUUCACGCCUCUGAUCCUUCUCAUCUGGCCAUCCACGUCACCGAUUUCCACUCCAACACCUGGGAGGCCCUACGCUCUGUUCAUCAGCUCGAAGAUAUGAGGGAUGACAUUGGAAUAGGAGACUCUUGGUCUGAGUUUAUGGACUAUAUCAUGGCUUCCUUAAAAUCUCGAGAAGUGAAGCUUAUUCUUGAUGGGCAUUUGAACUCGGACGGCGGUGCUGCACAUGCAAAAUUAGUUGCUCAGAAAAUAAAAGUAAUGCCGGUGAUCGCCAUUUCUCUCACAAAACUUACAGGUUCUGUUGCUAGUUCGGCUAUGGCAAAUCUGUCUCUUCAGCUCUUCAAAGCAUUUAAAAGCACCCAGCAAGAGUGCUCUAUUCAGUUACAGAAGGUGACAUCAACUGAGAGGGAAAGGAGUGAGAGCAACCAGAGCCAAUUGGAGCAGUUCUCCAAGAGGCAAAAGUUGCAGAUGACUAAUUCCUCUGACAAAUUUGGUGUUUCUGCAUCACUGAAUAGUGGCUUGCAGUCUCCAGAAAAACAAGCAGCUCGAGACACUGGGUCAACAAGAGUUGCCAGCCGUGUUGUGCCCGCAUAUCGAAGGGCAAGAGUACGAGGCGUCCUUCUGCACGAUACUGAAGAUAAUGAUGACAGAAAAAAGCAAUGAUAUCUGAUGAUGUGAAUCACUAUGUUCUGUAGAUAAAAAGAGAAUGUAGGUUUAUGUUUUUGACAUAGGUUGACUAAAACAAUAGGAAGAAAAAGAAAAUGGAAGGGUUUCAUUUAAUCUUCACUCUUUUGAUUGAUGGUUAUUUAUGAAAAUGAGAUUGUUGCAUUGAUGCAAAUCUUCAUUCUAACUGAUGUUUCAGUAGGACAACCAGUCUAUUUUGUGAAGGAACAGUUUCAGAUAACAUGAGACCGAGGGUUAAAAAUAUCCAUAUUGACACAUUUAUGAGCAAAAGCAGCAUUGUUUGUGUCAUCGUGUUUAAUGUUCAUUGAUACCUCAUUGCAAAAUGCUUUUUCGCUGGCUCCGCCAUGGACUUGGGAAGGGAUGUAAACAAUUUCAGAUUUGAAGCUUUUGGGAGAAAAUCUAGCGAGAGAAUUUGAAUUUGAAAUGACUUGUUACUUGAGAACGUUAUGCAUUUUACAAGUCUUACUCGGGAAGAAUAUUUCAUUUCUGUUAAACAAUGUUUGCUCAAAGCAUAGAGAUUCUGUCUUAUUUCCUACCAGCUGACAAUUUACUACUCUCUAACAUGGAUUUGCUUUGCUGCCAGCAUAUUUAUUGUCAUCACUUUCUAUGGCUGUAAUUGCAAAUAAGCCAGGCUAAAGUUUCAAGGGAUUCAACUCAAUAAAGUGAUUCAAUUAUUUUUCAUGUAACGUCUAACAAAUUGUUUUAUUCGACAUAAUUCCAAGACACGGCUCAACUCCACCCCUGCAAGCUCUUGUCUGGAUUGAUGGUUUAACACUUAAUUUCCCGUUCGGAAGAUGCAAUCUUUCUCCCUCAUGCUUUUGCUUUUUUUGCAAGUGAAAAAGGGCCAGCAACCAGGUACGAAAUCGCUUUCACCAGAAUAUCUGCAUGAUACAGUCAAGGUAGAAUCCAUUUAGUUUUCUGUGAAUGGAUUUAGUCAAAUACCUUAAUUAUAAUAGUAUUAGAACAUAAGUUAUCAACCAAAUUUACAUGUUUUAUGAAAUUAUGAUGAUUUCUUCUUGGGUUAAGUCACCCCUUAUUUUCUAAAAGCACUUAUUCUUACUUGGUGCAAUAGCUCUGUCUUAUAUUCUUUCAUACAACCAUUAAUCACUGCAUUUGACA